RNAcentral lists this ribosomal RNA (253 nucleotides) under uncultured bacterium. Its description in RNAcentral is "partial 16S ribosomal RNA". It matches the Rfam family "Bacterial small subunit ribosomal RNA", at positions 524 to 776 of the family's 1533-position model. The record is from RNAcentral.
UACGUAGGGUGCGAGCGUUAAUCGGAAUUACUGGGCGUAAAGCGUGCGCAGGCGGCUUUGCAAGACAGAUGUGAAAUCCCCGGGCUCAACCUGGGAACUGCAUUUGUGACUGCAAGGCUAGAGUACGGCAGAGGGGGAUGGAAUUCCGCGUGUAGCAGUGAAAUGCGUAGAUAUGCGGAGGAACACCAAUGGCGAAGGCAAUCCCCUGGGCCUGUACUGACGCUCAUGCACGAAAGCGUGGGGAGCGAACAGG